GCGGUUGUGGCGGAACUGGCAGACGCACCAUCUUGAGGGGGUGGCGCCCAAAAGGCGUGUGAGUUCAAAUCUCACCAACCGCA
Molecule: transfer RNA, 83 nt
Organism: Thermosinus carboxydivorans Nor1
Lineage: Bacteria; Bacillati; Bacillota; Negativicutes; Selenomonadales; Sporomusaceae
Rfam family: tRNA
About the family: Transfer RNA (tRNA) molecules are approximately 80 nucleotides in length. Their secondary structure includes four short double-helical elements and three loops (D, anti-codon, and T loops).
Source: Rfam